Molecule: ribosomal RNA, 459 nt
Filed under: uncultured bacterium
Lineage: Bacteria
Description: partial 16S ribosomal RNA
Rfam family: Bacterial small subunit ribosomal RNA
Source: RNAcentral
CCUACGGGCGGCAGCAGUGAGGAAUAUUGGUCAAUGGCCGCAGGGCUGAACCAGCCAAGUCGCGUGAGGGAUGACGGUCCUAUGGAUUGUAAACCUCUUUUGUCAGGGAGCAAAGGGCGCCACGUGAGGCGUUUCGCGAGUACCUGAAGAAAAAGCAUCGGCUAACUCCGUGCCAGCAGCCGCGGUAAUACGGAGGAUGCGAGCGUUAUCCGGAUUUAUUGGGUUUAAAGGGUGCGCAGGCGGAAUGUAAAGUCAGCGGUAAAAUUUCGGGGCUCAACCCCGUCGUGCCGUUGAAACUGGCGGUCUGGAGUGAGCGAGAGGUAUGCGGAAUGCGUGGUGUAGCGGUGAAAUGCGUAGAUAUAGCGCAGAACUCCGAUUGCGAAGGCAGCAUACCGGCGUUCAACUGACGCUGAGGCACGAAAGCGUGGGUAGCGAACAGGAUUAGAUACCCGGGUAGUC